RNAcentral lists this ribosomal RNA (494 nucleotides) under uncultured bacterium. RNAcentral describes it as "partial 16S ribosomal RNA". It matches the Rfam family "Bacterial small subunit ribosomal RNA", at positions 28 to 507 of the family's 1533-position model. The record is from RNAcentral.
GACGAACGCUGGCGGCGUGCUUAACACAUGCAAGUCGAACGGAAAGGCCUGCUUUCCCUUGUGGAUUGCGGGUACUCGAGUGGCGAACGGGUGAGUAACACGUGAGUGAUCUGCCCCCAACUUGGGUAUAAGCCUGGGAAACUGGGUCUAAUUCCCGAUAGGACUGCAGGGUGGUGCCUGUGGUGGAAAACGAUUUUCUAGUGGUUGGGGAUGAGCUCGCGGCCUAUCAGCUUGUUGGUGGGGUAAUAGCCUACCAAGGCGGCGACGGGUAGCCGGCCUGAGAGGGUGGACGGCCACAUUGGGACUGGGAUACGGCCCAGACUCCUACGGGAGGCAGCAGUGGGGAAUAUUGCACAAUGGGCGGAAGCCUGAUGCAGCGACGCCGCGUGGGGGAUGACGGCCUUCGGGUUGUAAACUCCUUUCGACCGCGAGGAAGCCACCUGGUUGGAAGGGUGGUGACGGUAGUGGUAGAAGAAGCACCGGCUAACUACGUG